This 89-nucleotide transfer RNA is filed under the name Bipolaris zeicola 26-R-13. It matches the Rfam family "tRNA". Rfam says of the family: Transfer RNA (tRNA) molecules are approximately 80 nucleotides in length. Their secondary structure includes four short double-helical elements and three loops (D, anti-codon, and T loops). Further hydrogen bonds mediate the characteristic L-shaped molecular structure. tRNAs have two regions of fundamental functional importance: the anti-codon, which is responsible for specific mRNA codon recognition, and the 3' end, to which the tRNAs corresponding amino acid is attached (by aminoacyl-tRNA synthetases). tRNAs cope with the degeneracy of the genetic code in two manners: having more than one tRNA (with a specific anti-codon) for a particular amino acid; and 'wobble' base-pairing, i.e. permitting non-standard base-pairing at the 3rd anti-codon position. RNAcentral also lists the same sequence under 1 other name. Lineage: Eukaryota; Fungi; Ascomycota; Dothideomycetes; Pleosporales; Pleosporaceae. The record is from Rfam by way of RNAcentral.
GGUUUUGUAGUGUAGCGGUUAUCACUCCGGAUUCUGAUUCUGACAUCAGACGAUUUCCGGCAACCCCGGUUCGAUUCCGGGCAAGACCU